This is a small nucleolar RNA of Pongo abelii (Sumatran orangutan), 101 nucleotides long. The record is from Ensembl. NCBI's taxonomy places the organism in Eukaryota, Metazoa, Chordata, Mammalia, Primates, Hominidae.
AUCCCUUUGUCGUUUAUAAGUAUGAUGAUUGGGUUUUCAUGUUCCUGUAUCUAUGCCUCCUUCAAGCCUUGUUAUGAUGUCCGCACAUUACCUGCCUGUCA